Molecule: long non-coding RNA, 516 nt
Filed under: Anser brachyrhynchus (Pink-footed goose)
Lineage: Eukaryota; Metazoa; Chordata; Aves; Anseriformes; Anatidae
Description: lncRNA (ENSABRG00000013295.1)
Source: RNAcentral
GGGUGGGUGAGGUGGCACCUGAACCUAGAAACUAGAAGAAAGGCCUCGUGCUGGUUCUGUGGUUUCCUGAGGGUUGUCACGUGCUUUUUGGCUCUCCUGCAGUCACAAAGAUCGACGUGCAGAUGCUAUCUCCAUUCGUUGUAUAAAAGCUCAGGUGGCAGAGCACCCCACUGGAUCUCAGCGCUCCGAACCAUUGACAGAGCAAGCCGGGAUACUGUCGUGAAUGCUGAUCCUUAUUAUUACCAGAGUGAAAAGAAGCUGUAGAGCUUGCAAAAGGUCUUUCCUGUAGAUGUGAGUACUGCUGGGAUGUCUGUUGGACUUCAACAAAUACAGUAAAGACUUAAAAAUUACCACUUGUCUGGGAUGAGAAGAAUUUAUUGGGUGGGAUCUAACUGAAUGAUUGUUUUCUUGAGAUAGCCUGAAUGUGAAUGAAAAUUAUUUUUAUUGAGGUUCUUGGGAUAUGUUUUAGCCAAAAGUACUUAUCAUUUCAUUUCACUAUAACUGAGUCAAUCUGGC